Small nuclear RNA from Dromiciops gliroides (monito del monte), 104 nucleotides. NCBI's taxonomy places the organism in Eukaryota, Metazoa, Chordata, Mammalia, Microbiotheria, Microbiotheriidae. The record is from RefSeq and is a predicted model, not a curated record.
GUGCUUGCUUUGGCAGCACAUAUGCUAAAAUUGGAACGCUACAGAGAAUAGCAUGGUCCCUGUGCAAGGAUGACACGCAAAUUCAUGAAGCAUUCCAUAUUUUU